AGAGUUUGAUCAUGGCUCAGGACGAACGCUGGCGGCGUGCCUAACACAUGCAAGUCGAGCGAGGGACUUCGGUCCCUAGCGGCGGACGGGUGAGUAACACGUGGGUAACCUGCCUCAUAGAGGGGGAUAGCCUCCCGAAAGGGAGAUUAAUACCGCAUAACACUGUGGUUUCGCAUGAGAUUACAGUUAAAGGAGCAAUCCGCUAUGAGAUGGACCCGCGGCGCAUUAGCUAGUUGGUGAGGUAACGGCUCACCAAGGCCACGAUGCGUAGCCGACCUGAGAAGGUGAUCGGCCACAUUGGAACUGAGACACGGUCCAGACUCCUACGGGAGGCAGCAGUGGGGAAUAUUGCACAAUGGAGGAAACUCUGAUGCAGCAACGCCGCGUGAGUGAUGAAGGCCUUCGGGUUGUAAAGCUCUGUCUUUUGGGACGAUAAUGACGGUACCAAAGGAGGAAGCCACGGCUAACUACGUGCCAGCAGCCGCGGUAAUACGGAGGGUGCGAGCGUUAUUCGGAAUUACUGGGCGUAAAGCGCGUGCAGGCGGAAGGAGCAGUCUGAUGUGAAAGCCCGGGGCUUAACCCCGGAAGAGCAUUGGAAACCAUCCUUCUUGAGUGCUGGAGAGGAAGGGGGAAUUCCCGGUGUAGAGGUGAAAUUCGUAGAGAUCGGGAGGAAUACCAGUGGCGAAGGCGCCCUUCUGGACAGUCAAACUGACGCUGAGACGCGAAAGCGUGGGGAGCAAACAGGAUUAGAUACCCUGGUAGUCCACGCUGUAAACGAUGAGAACUAGGUGUAGCGGGUACUCAUUCCUGCUGUGCCGAAGCUAACGCGUUAAGUUCUCCGCCUGGGGAUUACGGUCGCAAGACUAAAACUCAAAGGAAUUGACGG
This 886-nucleotide ribosomal RNA is filed under the name uncultured bacterium. Its description in RNAcentral is "bacterial SSU rRNA". It matches the Rfam family "Bacterial small subunit ribosomal RNA", at positions 8 to 916 of the family's 1533-position model. The record is from RNAcentral.